Molecule: ribosomal RNA, 394 nt
Filed under: Spelaeiacris monslamiensis
Lineage: Eukaryota; Metazoa; Arthropoda; Insecta; Orthoptera; Rhaphidophoridae
Description: partial 12S ribosomal RNA
Source: RNAcentral
UAGAUACCCUAUUAUUUUAAGUGUAAAAAUAAAAUAUUUGAGUAGUAAUUGUUUUGAUCAUGAAACUCAAAGAAUUUGGCGGUGUUUUAGUCUAUUCAGAGGAAUCUGUCCCGUUAUUGAUGAUUCACGUUUAACUUUACUUAAUUUUGUAAAAUCAGUUUGUAUACCGCCGUCAUCAGAUUGUCUUAGGAGAGUAUAAAUUUUCUUAAUUUUAAAUUAGAAAUUAUGUCAGGUCAAGGUGCAGUUUAUAAUUAAGGGGAGAUGGAUUACAAUAGAAUAAUUUAAAUGGAUGUUAAGUUGAAAUAUUUAAUUGAAGGUGGAUUUGAAUGUAAUUAUUGAAAUUAUAAUAUAUUGAUUUUAGCUCUAAAAUAUGUACACAUCGCCCGUCGCUCUU